AUUGCCCAUGUGUUGGUAGCGGGGAGAGGGUUUGUAAAUCGUGGGGAUUAUUAUUAGGGAUCGUUGGGGAGCACACUUCUCUGAUCAACUGUUAUUUCAGGAAGAUAGGGAGGCCAGAGGCCAGGGAGGUAGCAGGUCAGUGGGGAAGCGGGUCAUGGGAGCCUUUCUGGGGACUCUCUUCCCAAGAGUCACUCAGGCCUGGGUGACAGGCUCGGGGAAGCCCUGCAUCUUAAAUGGCCUUUCCAGCAGCAGCUCUGCUCAGGUCUCGUCAUCUACCAGCAGAGCCCUUGCUCUGGGCACCUGGUUUCUCAGCCCUGGGCCACCAGGGAAGCCGUUUCCAGACAGGAGGGGGCGGGCCAAGCCACUGACUUCCGAGGAUAUAGCUCUUGGCUGUGGGACUGGGCUCUCCCAGAAUUGUUCCUUUGUCUGCAGAUUCCUCCCUAUUUAGCUCACAAAGGAAAUGGUUCCAGGAGGAAGUGGAAAACUGUGACACACACAUGCUCGCCCCCCACACAAGAUGGCAGCUGUUUCCCCCUACGGCAAUCUGCCCCACCGCCUUCACCAGACGCUUGCGGGGGACAAACACAGUCCCGGGAGUGACCUGGGAGUGGCCUGGGAUACCCGAAGAUAAAAGCAGAGAACCUGCAGGAUUCAAGAGAUGUGACUGAACAGCAUUCCCACUCAGAAGGCCAAGGAUGAGGCUGACCUGACAGCCCACAGAAACCUCUUCCUAUGAAAGAACCAGAAAAUCACCAGGAGCUGCCUCAGGCUGCACUAUUUGGAACGCGACGGUGCCCACUCAUCUUUUGAGGGUUGGUGCAGCUGCCCCUUCCUCCAAGGGGUCUGUCCUGCUUUCCUGGACAGGUGAGGCCAUCCUGUUACAUCCUCCAGACCAGGUGACGUGUUCAGGACCCUUCUGUAUUAAACUGUGAACCGUGAGGGGAGAGACGGGGCCACUGUUGCCCAGUGCCCAGCACAGCAGCGGGUACACAGCAGGUGCACUGGGUACACAUUAAGUGACAGCCCAGAAUUCAGAGAAGAACCAAAGACUAGGGAGAAGGCUUUAAAGCCUGCUUCUGACAACUGUCUCCAAGAGCAGAAGGACUCAAGGGGUGGGGGAGUGGAGCCAACUUGUUCCUUGGGGCACCGGGGGCACUGCGUGGCAGACUUGGACCCGUGGGUGGGGGCUCCAAGACGACACUAUCAGGUUCACUGUGUAGAACUUUUGGAAAUCUCAACUAAGAAGAGAGGCAGAUGUCCCUUCCAAGAGGGGCUGAGCCCCCCUGGGACAGCCCUGUGGCAGGAAGGCAGGGAAAGGGCCAGUACAGUGGGGAGGUGGGGAGUCGGGGAGUCGAGGCAUUGGGCAAAUGGGGUGAGAGAUACCUGGAGGCAAACCUGGGAUUUGCCUUCCCCAGCCUAGUGACCCCAGGCAGGUGGUGUCACCUUAGGCUUCUCCUCUGUGACACAGAGAUGAUGAGAGUGCUCCCCUCAGAGGUGGUGGUAAGCACAAAGAGAGGUAGUAUAUGGAGGGAUGAAACUAUACCAGCACCCGAGUCCUUCUGUAAAGGUUGGUUAUUACUACCGGUGUUGUUAGCAAUCACGGGAUGCGAACACCACCCGGGGCUUAGCCCACCCAUUCUAGGUGGGGGGCUAAGGUCGGGCCUACAAUGCCCACCUGGACUGUGGCCCAGCCUCUCCUCCUCCCUCCCUUCCCCUGCCUGCAGAAGCCUCCCAGUGCCAGCCCUGGAUUGGAUACCGACCAGGCGCCCAGGACUCCAGUCCACAGGGAGCCCAGCCACCCUGGGGCAGGCUCUGGAAGACCCUUGGGGUGAUUCCUGCCUCCAGGGCUGGGGCGAGGCUCCAAGAAAAUGACAGUAGAAGGUCUUGGGGAUAGGUGUCUUGAAUCCUGGAGAGCCCCAAACAUCUCCUCUGCUCCCACAGGAGGCCAACGAGUCUAUACAAUUAAACUCUCUUUGAAAAUGGGUAGAGUCUGAAGUUUUAUAUUCCCCUGUUCUUAACUUAGACACAAAGGUGCGUUGAGGUUAUACUGCUCACGAACAGCUCCUAACUGGUCACCUCUUUCCAGUUUCUCCCUUCUGACUGUCUCACGAGUUCACUGCUGGCUCUAAUCAUUUCCCCCAGCCGCAACACUUACAUCAUCCCCCCUUCUGCUCACAACCAGUCAAUAGCUCCCCGGGGCCCUGACGCCAGUUUCCUUUGUGACACGGAUGAUGAUAGACCUUCACGUGCUUUCAUGCCUCCCUGUGGCUUACCCCUAAUAACUCUGUCAUUCUGUCCCUUCCCAGGAUGGGCAGGCCAGAAGCCAGGAGCCAGAGGGAAAGCGGUACAGAGGGAACUUGGAUUCCAUUCGAAUUCAUUCAUUAAGGCGAUCGUUUACAAACCUGUAUUUUAAGUAUUCGUUUUUUUUUGUUUUUUUUUUUUUAAUUGAAUGCUUCCUAUAUGCUGAGUGCUUUCCUUGCAGGAAUCCAAUUAUCCCCACAGGGAGACAGGUGAUUGUUAUCUCCAUUUUUGGUUGAAGAAACUGAAACUCGGGGGAUUAAAUGGAUGAGUAGAGCCAGGAUUCAAAGCCCAGGCAAUCUGACACCACAGCCAGGGCUCACCCAGCUCCCAUAUUAUGCUGCCUCUAUUAUUAGUUACAAAUCUGAGCAACCAGCCUCUCGGGGACUGGGGACUGGGACACAGGCCGCUGGGGACCUGGAGGAAAAAGCCCUACUCUAUCUGAGGACCGAGGCUCCGUUUAACGUCCACCUGCUUCUCUAGGCUGUAGGCAAGCCCACCCCAUUGCACCCUGAGCACACUUCUGGGCCUUUCUUCUUUCCACUCUGGGAUUGCCUCCCUCCAUGCUUCUGAGGUUCCUGGCUAGAAAGUGGUCCACGAGGCCUCUGGUCCUUUACUAUAUUCUCUAAUGGACAAGGAGCAGAUAGGACUUCACGUCACGGGCACUGGUGACCAAGUCUUACUUUCUCUGCUUUGCUAGGAGACUCUGGGGUGCAAGGACCCUGAGCUCCCCCUCUGUAACCUGAUCGGUCUCUCUGGCUUCUUGGCACACUCCUAGAUCAGUUUUCUUCCGGAUCCAAGUGGAGCUAAAAAAAACCUUCCCCUUGGUUUCAUAUCAGCUGCGUCUGCUCUCAGCAAACCCUUCAACAAGAAUGGGCAGGAAGAAUAAAUAUUUAUUCUACAAAUGAAUAAAUCUGAUUCCAUCUUCAAAAGAAAGCUGCAGCAUAAAUUAUCAUAAUUUCUCCAUUCUAAGAGGUCGCUGAUUUAAAGACAUUUUAUCUGUUGAAUAACAGCUUUGGGGGGGGGGUGGGGAACAAACAGAAAAGUAACUAAUUGAUAUAUCGACUGUAGGAUAGGUUCUGAUUUUUUAAAAAUGUGUUUCCAUAUCAAUAAAUGUUGUUUUUUAAAAAUAUAAUCCCAUUCAAAUUUCACUGUGGCUUUUUUGGCUCUUGUGUUCUCAGAAAAAAACUCCCAAGCCUUGCUUAAGCACUGCGAAGCACGGUGGGUAUUAGCAAUGUAUCCUGGCCACGUUAUGGCCCUGUUUAGCCUUGCGGGCUGCUGGUCAGAGAGGGCAUGUCAUGGCCACCCCCACACUAAUGGCGGCCCCCAAAGCCAAUCGCCAUGUUUUCUCCCCAGCAGCGAUUAUGUCUGUGCUCUGUGACUACCUCACAACCACGUUAGUAGCUCCAUGGGAAGCCAACCUGGGGGGUCCAUCGUAUGCCCUUAGGCAAGAUGCUGCCCCUUGAACCUCGGUUUCCCUAGCUGUGAAACAAGACACAUAGGAUUAGAUAGGUAAUUUUCAAGUGCUUUCUUAAUGGAGUUACGGGAACUGCAUAGCUUCCUUGGGAUUGGUGGGGGCGGGGG
This is a long non-coding RNA of Panthera uncia (snow leopard), 3882 nucleotides long. RefSeq lists it as uncharacterized. The record is from RefSeq and is a predicted model, not a curated record. NCBI's taxonomy places the organism in Eukaryota, Metazoa, Chordata, Mammalia, Carnivora, Felidae. The transcript is spliced from 3 exons.